UCUAUUAUACACUGCAUGGGCCGGCUCCUGGCGGGAUGGACAGAGACCUGCCACGACUUCUUUGAAAAAUGCAUUUUUAUUUACCCCGCCAGGAAGCAACACAUGUUUAUUGAGGAACACUUGGAAAACCCAGAAAAACUGAAGGAAGAAAACACUUAGCUGAAGACAACCAUUCAAAAGAUGCUAGAAAGAGAAAGAGUUUCCAUCCCAGCUGGAGGCAAGAGAGUAAUGAACUGCAAAGAAUCACUGGAGAUGAUCACAAUCACUGGAGAUGAUCACUGGAGAAUCACAAUCAAUGGAGAUGCUGAGGGAACCCUGAAGGCCAGGGCACAGAUGGCAUAAUGGCACAGAUUCACGGUAUUAUCAGAGACAAAGUCCCAGCUAAGCACAGGCAUUGAAGCCUAAGAAAUAAAAAAUCAGAUGUAAUCGAGCUAAGAUGAGGCCACACUGGAAUAGGACUGGUGUCCUUAUAAGAAGAGGGAAAUUUGGACACAGAAACACAGAAUAUAGGCCUGGUGAAGAUGAUGGCAGAGAUUGGAGUGAUGCAACCACAAGCCAAGGAAAUCCAAGGACUGCCAACACCAGAAGAGAGGCAUGGGACAGAUUAUCCGUGAGAACCUCCAUAAGGAACUAACCCCGCUGACAACUUCAUUUCAGACUUGUGGCCUCCAGAACUGAAAAUGAAGACAUUUCUGUUGUCUUAAGCCACCAGUUUGUGCUAAUUUAUUACAGCAGUACUAGCAAACUAAAACACUGUGAAGCCAUUUAUAAUCUUCCCAAAGCUCUCAUUUCUUUUGCCGUCUCCACAUUUACCAUGAUUUUUUUUUUUAACUUGCUACUUAAUGUCGCUUAAGUGAAGGAAAAAUGUCAUUUAAAAUUAUUAGCACAGGGUGCCU
Neogale vison (American mink) is the source of this 896-nucleotide long non-coding RNA. RefSeq lists it as uncharacterized. The record is from RefSeq and is a predicted model, not a curated record. Lineage: Eukaryota; Metazoa; Chordata; Mammalia; Carnivora; Mustelidae. The transcript has 3 exons.